This 605-nucleotide ribosomal RNA is filed under the name uncultured bacterium. RNAcentral's name for it is "bacterial SSU rRNA". The stretch from base 1 to 538 matches the Rfam family "Bacterial small subunit ribosomal RNA", at positions 338 to 873 of the family's 1533-position model. The record is from RNAcentral.
CCUACGGGAGGCAGCAGUGGGGAAUUUUGGACAAUGGGCGCAAGCCUGAUCCAGCAAUGCCGCGUGCAGGAUGAAGGCCUUCGGGUUGUAAACUGCUUUUGUACGGAACGAAACGGUGAGCUCUAAUAAAGUUUGCUAAUGACGGUACCGUAAGAAUAAGCACCGGCUAACUACGUGCCGGCAGCCGCGGUAAUACGUAGGGUGCGAGCGUUAAUCGGAAUUACUGGGCGUAAAGCGUGCGCAGGCGGUUAUAUAAGACAGAUGUGAAAUCCCCGGGCUCAACCUGGGACCUGCAUUUGUGACUGUAUAGCUAGAGUACGGUAGAGGGGGAUGGAAUUCCGCGUGUAGCAGUGAAAUGCGUAGAUAUGCGGAGGAACACCGAUGGCGAAGGCAAUCCCCUGGACCUGUACUGACGCUCAUGCACGAAAGCGUGGGGAGCAAACAGGAUUAGAUACCCUGGUAGUCCACGCCCUAAACGAUGUCAACUGGUUGUUGGGUCUUCACUGACUCAGUACGAAGCUAACGNGNGAGUGACGCGNGGAGACGCGCGAGUAGACGACAGAGAGUAGACGNGNGAGAGNGCGAGACGACGACGAGGGAGGAGG